This is a long non-coding RNA of Stegostoma tigrinum, 728 nucleotides long. RefSeq lists it as uncharacterized. Lineage: Eukaryota; Metazoa; Chordata; Chondrichthyes; Orectolobiformes; Stegostomatidae. The record is from RefSeq and is a predicted model, not a curated record. The transcript is spliced from 2 exons.
ACCACGCAGGGCCUUCUGUGUUGACCCUCGUCAGUGAGCAGCGGUGGGACUUCGGCCACUCUUGCCGGAUUGGGGCCUGGAGCGGCUAGCCCAGCUAUCAGGGGCACAAUGACCGCGGUAACGUCAACUACUGUCCACUGUCAGCACCCACUGGAAAUCCAGCUGAGUCCUGAAGAAGGUAACCUACCUGGAGGGAAUGGAGAAUGGAGUCCAACACUAGCCUAGUUUGGGAACCAAGUCACGACCUGAAGGUCUGAGUUCCGGAAGCGAGCUGUGGUCGGAGUGGCAGCAGAACAAGCUCAGGCCGAGUCGCAGGAGCAGAGCAAGCGUGGGCUGAGUCCUGGAAACGGGCUGUAGCGGGAGCUAGGAGCCGAGUUGUAGCCAUGUCCCGGAGUGGCAGCAAAGCAAGCCCAGGGCGGCUCAGUCAGUGAGUUGUGGCGGCGAGUCUAGGACAGAGGCCAGUUCAUGGAGGCAGUGAGGCCUCACGUCCUGAAGCCCCAGCACACACAGACUCAAUAAGAAAGGACUAUAAGUUGAGUACUUUGAAGACGCUUUUAAUUCUCAUUCUGGACUUUUAAACUCUAUUUCCAUGUUAAUCUUUUGUUUUACUAUUUCAAUUCAGUAACAACACUUUAUGUACCUGUACUGAGAGGCGACAUUAACAAACUUGUCACUGCAGUCAUUCACAUGCACAUGAUAAUAAAGGCUACUCUAAUCUGUUCUACUUA